Long non-coding RNA from Drosophila biarmipes, 554 nucleotides. RefSeq lists it as uncharacterized. NCBI's taxonomy places the organism in Eukaryota, Metazoa, Arthropoda, Insecta, Diptera, Drosophilidae. The transcript is spliced from 2 exons. The record is from RefSeq and is a predicted model, not a curated record.
GCGAGUCGAGAGCAUCGUCGCUUUAAACGCAAAGCAGAGGUGGUUUCAAUAUUUUCAGAAAUUACAAAAUAAAUCAGCAUACCACUAGUGAAAGUGUGUGGGGGAAGCGAUUGAAAGUUUUUGUUUUCAGCAGGACCUUUGGUGUUUACAUAUUCAAGGCUGGCAGCGACUUUCAUGUAGCAACACGGCUUUGAUUACCAUUUGUUAUCCCUCGCACACUUACUAAAGUGUGUUGAUCCUUCGGCAGCCGGGAUGUAAGCUUUUUCGUUUUCUGGUUUUUGUUUCUGCUCCGCUUUGGGUAUCCACCGUGUACCACUUGUGAUGCUGCUGUCUUCUUUAUGACUUUGUUUCUGGCUCUUAAUUAACAAACAAAGCUCCUGGCCGGCCUGCGUGUGUGUCUGGUUAUCCCGCUCGUGUUUAGCCCGGAGACAGGCGCUUACACAUGCACGGGGCGCAGCUGUCUUGGCAAAAGUUGCCCGCCGAAGGUAACCUGAAGCAAAUGAAUUUACAAUGUGCAUCUGGAUUCCGUUGAAUAAAACGCCCGAAACGAAUAA